AAAUUGAAGAGUUUGAUCAUGGCUCAGAUUGAACGCUGGCGGCAGGCCUAACACAUGCAAGUCGAACGGUAACAGGAAGCAGCUUGCUGCUUCGCUGACGAGUGGCGGACGGGUGAGUAAUGUCUGGGAAACUGCCUGAUGGAGGGGGAUAACUACUGGAAACGGUGGCUAAUACCGCAUAACGUCGCAAGACCAAAGAGGGGGACCUUCGGGCCUCUUGCCAUCAGAUGUGCCCAGAUGGGAUUAGCUGGUUGGUGAGGUAACGGCUCACCAAGGCGACGAUCCCUAGCUGGUCUGAGAGGAUGACCAGCCACACUGGAACUGAGACACGGUCCAGACUCCUACGGGAGGCAGCAGUGGGGAAUAUUGCACAAUGGGCGCAAGCCUGAUGCAGCCAUGCCGCGUGUAUGAAGAAGGCCUUCGGGUUGUAAAGUACUUUCAGCGGGGAGGAAGGUGUUGUGGUUAAUAACUGCAGCAAUUGACGUUACCCGCAGAAGAAGCACC
This 504-nucleotide ribosomal RNA is filed under the name Salmonella enterica. RNAcentral's name for it is "partial 16S ribosomal RNA". It matches the Rfam family "Bacterial small subunit ribosomal RNA", at positions 1 to 494 of the family's 1533-position model. The record is from RNAcentral. Lineage: Bacteria; Pseudomonadati; Pseudomonadota; Gammaproteobacteria; Enterobacterales; Enterobacteriaceae. RNAcentral also lists the same sequence under 1 other name.